AAUAGAUACCCGGGUAGUCCACGCCGUAAACGAUGAGUGCUAAGUGUUAGAGGGUUUCCGCCCUUUAGUGCUGCAGCUAACGCAUUAAGCACUCCGCCUGGGGAGUACGGUCGCAAGACUGAAACUCAAAGGAAUUGACGGGGGGCCCGCACAAGCGGUGGAGCAUGUGGUUUAAUUCGAAGCAACGCGAAGAACCUUACCAGGUCUUGACAUCCUCUGACAACUCUAGAGAUAGAGCGUUCCCCCUUCGGGGGGACAGAGUGACAGGUGGUGCAUGGUUGUCGUCAGCUCGUGUCGUGAGAUGUUGGGUUAAGUCCCGCAACGAGCGCAACCCUUGAUCUUAGUUGCCAGCAUUUAGUUGGGCACUCUAAGGUGACUGCCGGUGACAAACCGGAGGAAGGUGGGGAUGACGUCAAAUCAUCAUGCCCCUUAUGACCUGGGCUACACACGUGCUACAAUGGAUGGUACAAAGGGCUGCAAGACCGCGAGGUCAAGCCAAUCCCAUAAAACCAUUCUCAGUUCGGAUUGUAGG
This 532-nucleotide ribosomal RNA is filed under the name uncultured bacterium. Its description in RNAcentral is "bacterial SSU rRNA". It matches the Rfam family "Bacterial small subunit ribosomal RNA", at positions 777 to 1304 of the family's 1533-position model. The record is from RNAcentral.